AAAACAUUGCCUUACGACUUUAUAUGAAAGGUUCAUCCUGCCCAGUGAUUAUUUAUUAAACGGCUGCGGUACCCUGACCGUGCUAAGGUAGCGUGAUAAGUCGCCCUUUAAUUGUGGGCUGGUAUGAAAGGACAAACGAAAGCAACUCUGUCUCCUUAAAAUUCUUAUAAAUUGUCUUUUAGGUGAAGAGACCUAAAUAUAAUCAUAGGACAAGAAGACCCUAUAGAGCUUUAUUUUUAUUUUCUUAUAUUGUUUAUUUUUAUUAAUAUUAUAAUAUAUUUUUUUAAUAAAAUUUUACUGGGGCGGUAAAGGAAAUUAACUUCCAUUUUAUUAUCAAAGAUUUAUUUAUCAAUUUUAAUUGAUCCAUCUUAUGAUCAAAAAAAUAAGCUACCUUAGGGAUAACAGAUUAAUCCCUCUUGAGAGUUCUCAUUGACAGAGGGGUUUGACACCUCGAUGUUGGCUUAGGAUUCCCCAAGGGUCAGCAGCAGCCCUUAAAGGUAGGUUUGUUCAACCUUUAAAAUCCUACGUGAUCUGAGUUCANACCGGAGA
RNAcentral lists this ribosomal RNA (549 nucleotides) under Trichobranchus bibranchiatus. Its description in RNAcentral is "partial large subunit ribosomal RNA". It matches the Rfam family "Bacterial large subunit ribosomal RNA", at positions 1810 to 2622 of the family's 2925-position model. Lineage: Eukaryota; Metazoa; Annelida; Polychaeta; Terebellida; Trichobranchidae. The record is from RNAcentral.